Molecule: ribosomal RNA, 443 nt
Filed under: uncultured bacterium
Lineage: Bacteria
Description: partial 16S ribosomal RNA
Rfam family: Bacterial small subunit ribosomal RNA
Source: RNAcentral
CCUACGGGAGGCAGCAGUGGGGGAUACUGGACAAUGGGGGAAACCCUGAUCCAGCGACGCCGCGUGAGUGAAGAAGUAUUUCGGUAUGUAAAGCUCUAUCAGCAGGGAAGAAAGAAAUGACGGUACCUGACGAAGAAGCCCCGGCUAACUACGGGCCAGCAGCCGCGGUAAGACGUAGGGGGCAAUUGUUAGCCGGAUUUACUGGGUGUCAAGGGAGCGUAGACGGUAAUGCAAGUCUGGAGUGAAAGGCGGGGGCCCAACACCCGUAGUGCACUGGAAACUGUGUAACUGGAGUGCAGGAGAGGCAGGCGGAACUCCUAGUGUAGCGGUGAAAUGCGUAGAUAUUAGGAGGAACACCAGUGGCGAAGGCGGCCUGCUGGACUGUAACUGACGUUGAGGCUCGAAAGCGUGGGGAGCAAACAGGAUUAGAUACCCCAGUAGUC